GUCAGGAUGGCCGAGCGGUCUAAGGCGCUGCGUUCAAGUCGCAGUCUCGCAUGGAGGCGUGGGUUCGAAUCCCACUUCUGACACCA
Molecule: transfer RNA, 86 nt
Filed under: Bos taurus (domestic cattle)
Lineage: Eukaryota; Metazoa; Chordata; Mammalia; Artiodactyla; Bovidae
Description: tRNA-Leu
Rfam family: tRNA
About the family: Transfer RNA (tRNA) molecules are approximately 80 nucleotides in length. Their secondary structure includes four short double-helical elements and three loops (D, anti-codon, and T loops).
Source: RNAcentral